UCGAAGAAAAGGAAAAAUGCGCGUUCUAACAAGGCAGAGAACGAGCUAGCGAUAGGAGGGGAGAUUAUCGAGCUCGUACAGAAAAGAUACGCUAAAAAGAUAUAUCGUUAUAUUUAUCUGAAAUUAAAUAGUAUUACAGCGGAUACUUACCAAUCAAUGGAAAAAUACUAGGUUGAUCGAGCAGCGACUUAAGACUGUUUUCAACAAGAGUGGGAGAGGAACGAUCCUUGUCACUCAUUUCACGCACUGCGCCACGAAGCCGCACGUUCUGAGGGUUACACACGCACACCACAAUCCGUUCAGUACACGGAACACCGCACGAAAGAACGAACGGCAGAUAUAGAUAGACUUUCUAUGUGUGUACACACGGGACUAUACAAACUGCAAGUGUGUACGUGUAGGAGAAACAGCACACACAGACACACGAACGUAACGGUGUGUAGUAAUAACAACGAGCACGCAGGCCAACGAGAAACGAAUGUGCCUCCCGUGGGACACGAUUAAACGACGUUCUUCCAGACCGGCAGAGAGAAAAGGCGCCCGCACCCGAACCUCUCACCUCGUCACGAUGUUUCUACUAUCACCCGAGACGGUCGCGGCCCGUUCGAACACUCUGGCCACGUUAAAAUAAACGCGGAGCGCUAUACCCAGUGCACGGUGCUCUUGAAAAUCAAUCUAAAAGUGGAUCGGCUGGUGGCGCAAUCUCCUGGCUAACCUCUGGACCGACUCGCGAACAAGUGAACGACGCCUGCCGUACUGAUAACGAAUAGUGUCUCUACUUUUGCCUUAUCGCGAUGCGCGCGCAUCCGUCCCCCGACCUCCCACACCGCCCAUCUACGAACGUUUCUUAGCCAUGAUCAGCAGUUUUCGUUUCGUUAAAUCUUUGCUCACGAUAUCUCUUUCCUUUUUCUUUAUUUCACGUUAUUUUUCCUCAUUUAAUGAUCAAGUGUUUUCCUCGCUUAAAUCUUUUUAAAUUUCUAGCCUGCGUUCGUUAAGUUCGGUGCUCUGUGUGCGUUUCGAAGUUAAAAGCGCUGACGUUCGCUACUUUCUACAAAUCAGGAGUGGAAGACCACCUACGAUGCCUAGCUUUUUCCAAUGGUACCGCCGGUAAACCCACCUCUUGAUGACAACCUCUUAUAGGAGAAAUUGACAGAACGUUAGGUAAACCAAUUUCUUGAAAAGAACUCAUAGAAGAAAAUCCACUUUCGUCCUCGACGCUGCUCACACUGGCAGUUGGCUUUGAUUUCGAAGAUUUAUCCUUUUUCUCCACUUUUCUAACACGUCUAUUUGGCGUAGAUGUCGGCGUACAUACGUAAAUAUGUUUGUGAUUCGAUAUGGAUACGUUGAAACAGUUAUUAUUUGGAAGUAGAUCCUCUUCUUCGGUAGUUUUGCUGCUUCCUGAGUUGAGUGAGGUGGUGUCAACGGAUCUUCUUAUAUCAGGAAGAAGAUCGUGGAAACCUUGACUGAUCUCAACAAUGUUUGACGAUGAUUUUACGAAACACCUACUGUCGUUAUCGGUACUACUUGAUUCGUUCCCAUGGUCAUAACUAGAACAUCUAUUGUACCCGAUAGCUUCCUGCAAGCACGUUGCAUUUACGUAACUACCAUCCUGCAAGGUCACUGAUACCUCGUUGUGAUGAUUAUUGUAACGAUGACGCUCUGUGGGCGAUGGGGAGGAUUCGUUAUUUUCUAUCGACGAGAUUCUGACCAGAUCCGGUUCUCUCAUUGAGAGCAACGACUGAACUGUUCUCAUUAAUCUGAAACAAUUAAUUUACAAUUAGUUAAAAAUAGUUUACUAUCUUCAAAUAUUUUAAAUAAAGAGAUAUUUAAAGUUACUUAUUAAUAACUAAACACUACAAAAUAAUUAUUUUAAUCACUUACGUAUCUGGUUACGUACCUAAAUGCUUCUUGGGAUAGUUUCUGGGGCGGUACAUCAUUCGGGUCCAACUUGGGUUGCGUAGGGGCUUUAUAAACAACAGCGUCAUGAGUUUUAUUGAGACUCUGAGAUUUAUUACGUGAAGAAUUGAGACCCUGAGAUUUAUUACGUGGAGAAGUAGAAUGCGCUGGAUCGUUUCUACGAAGCAUCGACCAAGUGAAUUCGCGGUAGUUGGUAGUGCACGGUGACAUCUGUGUGACCGAUUUCGACUUCGUGAAACGAGAGGAAGUCGAAGACGAUGGCGCUGAGGAAACAUGAUUCGACGAGGAAUCUGCGUGCUCAGUGUGAACGCUAUGGCUACGUGGAAACCGUCCCGUUGACUUCUUAUCCUUAGGAUUACUCUUCUCGUGAAGAAUAUCCAAGCUUUUGCGGGCUCGGUCCAGGAAGCGCAGCACUUGCUCCAUCAGGGCACGGUACUAAAGUAUUAAAAAUGGCAGUGGAAUAUUUUUCGGGGACAGACGGUGAAGUAUUCAAGGAAUGGGGAUAAGGUAAUCUGGUCGAGGACAUCAACAAUUUCCUCUUGUAAAUCAGGAAAACAUUGUCGACUACUUGUACGUGAGGUGUUUCAUUGGUCGCUAAAAUUUCUUGAAGUCUUCGGUUCUCUUCUAUCAAUGAUCGGUAUUGCUGAAACAAAAAACAGAAAUGACAAAAUCAGUUAACGAUAAUUAUUGGUGUUUUCUUCCUAAAUUCAAUUUCUUACUUUUAUCACACUUUAAGUUUAACGAGGAAAGUGUCCAGCUCUCGAACGACUUUCCUGAACGUAAUAAUCGUUUCAAAAGAAGAAAGAAGCGACAUGGUACGGCGUAUAUACACGCGUUAAUACAAGGUUUCACCUUGCGUAGGAGAUUUUCACACGGUGGAGUGAACACGAUUCGACGUUAGCAGAGCGUACGCCUGUUUAUUGUACAGACAUUGCUUUACCAAUAGCGGUAUAUUUUAUUUAAAAUAAUAUAUUGCUCUAAUCACCGUUAAAAGUAAAAGAAACUUUAAAUAUUUGCGUCAUUAA
Molecule: long non-coding RNA, 2942 nt
Organism: Bombus terrestris (buff-tailed bumblebee)
Lineage: Eukaryota; Metazoa; Arthropoda; Insecta; Hymenoptera; Apidae
Exons: 4
Source: RefSeq, a predicted model, not a curated record